Molecule: ribosomal RNA, 767 nt
Filed under: uncultured beta proteobacterium
Lineage: Bacteria; Pseudomonadati; Pseudomonadota; Betaproteobacteria
Description: bacterial SSU rRNA
Rfam family: Bacterial small subunit ribosomal RNA
Source: RNAcentral
GAGUUUGAUCCUGGCUCAGAUUGAACGCUGGCGGAAUGCUUUACACAUGCWAGUCGAACGGCAGCAUAGAGAGCUUGCUCUCUGAUGGCGAGUGGCGAACGGGUGAGUWAUAUAUCGGAACGUGCCUAGUAAUGGGGAAUAACUAGCUGAWAGGUUAGCUAAUGCCGCAUACGACCUACGGGUGAAAGCAGGGGAUCUUCGGACCUUGCGUUAUUAGAGCGGCCGAUAUCUGAUUAGCUUGUUGGUGGGGUAAUGGCCUACCAAGGCGACGAUCAGUAGCUGGUCUGAGAGGACGAUCAGCCACACUGGAACUGAGACACGGUCCAGACUCCUACGGGAGGCAGCAGUGGGGAAUUUUGGACAAUGGGGGCWACCCUGAUCCAGCCAUUCCGCGUGAGUGAAGAAGGCCUUCGGGUUGUAAAGCUCUUUCGCAAGAGAAGAAAACUUGCUAUCUAAUAAAUAGUAAGUAUGACGGUAUCUUGACAAGAAGCACCGGCUAACUACGUGCCAGCAGCCGCGGUAAUACGUAGGGUGCAAGCGUUAAUCGGAAUUACUGGGCGUAAAGCGUGCGCAGGCAGUUUUAUAAGUCAGAUGUGAAAUCCCCGAGCUCAACUUGGGAACUGCGUAUGAAACUAUAAGACUAGAGUGUGUCAGAGGGGGGUAGAAUUCCAAGUGUAGCAGUGAAAUGCGUAAAGAUUUGGAGGAAUACCAAUGGCGAAGGCAGCCCCCUGGGAUAACACUGACGCUCAUGCUCGAUAGCGUGGGGA